This 259-nucleotide ribosomal RNA is filed under the name uncultured bacterium. RNAcentral's name for it is "partial 16S ribosomal RNA". It matches the Rfam family "Bacterial small subunit ribosomal RNA", at positions 524 to 782 of the family's 1533-position model. The record is from RNAcentral.
UACGGAGGGUGCAAGCGUUAUCCGGAUUCACUGGGUUUAAAGGGUGCGUAGGUGGGCAGGUAAGUCCGUGGUGAAAUCCCUGAGCUUAACUCGGGAACUGCCAUGGAUACUAUUUGUCUUGAAUAUUGUGGAGGUAAGCGGAAUAUGUCAUGUAGCGGUGAAAUGCUUAGAUAUGACAUAGAACACCAAUUGCGAAGGCAGCUUACUACACAGUUAUUGACACUGAGGCACGAAAGCGUGGGGAUCAAACAGGAUUAGA